This is a long non-coding RNA of Dermochelys coriacea (leatherback sea turtle), 1008 nucleotides long. RefSeq lists it as uncharacterized. The record is from RefSeq and is a predicted model, not a curated record. Lineage: Eukaryota; Metazoa; Chordata; Testudines; Dermochelyidae. The transcript has 2 exons.
GUGCAGUGAUGCUCCUGGCUGGCCAAAGUGAAUUGCAGCACCAUGGAUAGCUCAAUGCUGGCUGGCACUAGGGGAUUGAGGAAGAGCUCCUGGCUGGCUGCUGGGCCUGAACAUAGAAGAGCCCUGAGGUUCCCUGAUUCAUUCAAUGCAGGAUGCAUCUGCUCUAGGAAGGAAUCAAGGUUGUGUGGUGAAGAGGUCUGUUAUCUGUAGCCUCUAUCUCAUUUGUUGCAGAGGUUGGAAGUCUUAUAGAGAAAGCAUUGUCUUGUGUUAGGGCAUUUGAAUGCUGCCCUGAAGAUGUGGAUUUUACCCCUGCCUCUGCCACCAUGUUCCUAUUUGAUGCUGGGCAAGUCACUUACAGCAAACUUUUCACAAGUAGUCACUUGUGUGUGACUGUAGACUGAAGACUGUAUCAUAAUGCAUACUGUGAAAAUGCAGGAAUAGUGUUAUGAAUUAUAUGUAUGACUGUACCUAUCCACUUUGUAUCACAACCCAUUGGGGAUGGGGGUUAAUUUUCUACCCUGGGUCAAGGGAGAAAGGGUAGGUGUUUGAGACGUAGCCACUGGCUCUGUCUGGGCUGGAAUUAACACAUUUCAAUGAAAAACCCUACUGAGACAAUGGAAUCCUCAAGGACCCAACAUUAACUCCUAGAAUUAAUUGCUUCCUACCACCUGUCUGUAGCUAAACAGAGCAAAUGGCCUCUCUCUGUAGAAUAAAGACUAGAGGUGUCAGCUGGCUGUGUUUUAAGCCAUCUAUUGUGAAUGCAGAACACAGACUGAGCAAUAUGGCUCCCAAGAGCAUGUGGCACAUUGGGGUAGUCUCCUCUUCCAAUAUGGACUCUGACUUACUCUUGGCUUUGCCAUAUAACUUAAGGAUUUUCUCAUUGUGUUUUCUAGUUGAUUAAUUUCUGAACUUUUUUUUUUUGAAAGCUAAAUAUUUAGAUAGCCUCUGCCACCAAUUUGCAAGAAGCAGAUAAACAAUAUACUUGUAAAUGAGCUGGAAUUUUGUAUC